GGUUGGAGAAAAUAGGAGCAAGGAGAUUCAGUUGGUAAGAUAGGUGCAGUUUAGGCAGACAGAUAGAGGUGGUCUUAGAGAUAUAUUUUAUUGUGCAAUGGGCCGACAUGUGGAGGAAGGGAGAUGCAGAUCCUUUAAGAAAGUAAGUGCAGCAUGCCCCACCUAAUAUGAAGCAACAGUUUGAUAAGGAGGUGGAAAGAUAUAGGACAAAAACACAUUGGGAGCAAAAAGAGUACAAGAACUAAAUAUUCGAUUCAAUGGUAAAGAGAACUUGAAAGCGAGGCUAC
RNAcentral lists this long non-coding RNA (287 nucleotides) under Elaeis guineensis (African oil palm). Its description in RNAcentral is "long non-coding RNA (EGUI_LNC058594)". The record is from RNAcentral. Lineage: Eukaryota; Viridiplantae; Streptophyta; Magnoliopsida; Arecales; Arecaceae.